UGGGGAAUAUUGCACAAUGGAGGGAACUCUGAUGCAGCGACGCCGCGUGAACGAAGAAGGCUUUCGAGUCGUAAAGUUCUUUUAUAUGGGAAGAUAAUGACGGUACCAUAAGAAAAAGCCCCGGCUAACUACGUGCCAGCAGCCGCGGUAAUACGUAGGGGGCUAGCGUUGUCCGGAAUCACUGGGCGUAAAGGGUUCGCAGGCGGAAAUGCAAGUCAGGUGUAAAAGGCAGUAGCUUAACUACUGUAAGCAUUUGAGACUGCAUAUCUUGAGAGGAGUAGAGGUAAGUGGAAUUUUUAGUGUAGCGGUGAGAUACGUAGAUAUUAAAAAGAAUACCGGUGGCGAGGGCGACUUACUGGGCUCAUUCUGACGCUGAGGAACGAAAGCGUGGGUAGCAAACAGG
RNAcentral lists this ribosomal RNA (403 nucleotides) under bacterium. RNAcentral's name for it is "partial 16S ribosomal RNA". It matches the Rfam family "Bacterial small subunit ribosomal RNA", at positions 355 to 776 of the family's 1533-position model. The record is from RNAcentral.